CAGGCGAAGAAGGACGUGAUAAGCUGCGAAAAGCUUCGGGUAGGUGCAAAUGACCAUUGAUCCGGAGAUUUCCGAAUGGGACAACCCGGCAGGCUGAAGGCCUGUCAUCCAACGAAUGUUGGAGGCAAACGUGGGGAACUGAAACAUCUUAGUACCCAUAGGAAGAGAAAAUAAAAAUGAUUCCCCAAGUAGUGGCGAGCGAACGGGGAAGAGCCCAAACCCGCCCUGUUGAGGCAGGACGGGGGUUGUAGGGCCGCGAAAUCGUAGUAAGAGGGUGAGUGGAAGCGGUUGGAAAUCCGCCCCGCAGAUGGUGACAGGCCAGUACACGAAGCCCGACGACACGUAGCGGAACCCUGAGUAGCGCGGGACACGUGAAAUCCUGUGUGAAGCAGGCGGGCCCAUCCGCCAAGGCUAAAUACUCGCAAGAGACCGAUAGCGAACCAGUACCGUGAGGGAAAGGUGAAAAGCACCGCGUGCAGCGGAGUGAAAAAGUUCCUGAAACCGUACGCCUACAAGCGGUCGGAGCAUCUUAGUGAUGUGACGGCGUGCCUUUUGCAUAAUGAACCUACGAGUUGCCUUCUCCGGCAAGGUUAAGUACUAGGAGGUACGUAGCCGAAGCGAAAGCGAGUCUUAACAGGGCGUUGAGUCGGAGGUGGCAGACGCGAAACCAAGUGAUCUACCCUUGUCCAGGUUGAAGUCCGGGUAACACCGGAUGGAGGACCGAACCAAUAAGCGUUGAAAAGCUUCUGGAUGAGGUGAGGGUAGGAGUGAAAGGCCAAUCAAACUUGGAGAUAGCUCGUACUCCCCGAAAUGCAUUUAGGUGCAGCCCCGGGAGUUUCCUGUGUGAGGUAGAGCGACUGAUCGGAUGCGAGGGCUUCACCGCCUAUCAAGUCCGGACAAACUCCGAAUGCGCGCAGGUAAGAUUCCGGGAGUGAGGGCGCGGGUGCUAAGGUCCACGCCCGAGAGGAGAAGAAUCCAGACCGCCGGCUAAGGCCCCGAAAUAUGGGUUAAGUUAAACUAACGAAGUGCGGUCCCGGUGACAGCUAGGAUGUUGGCUUGGAAGCAGCCAUUCAUUCAAAGAGUGCGUAACAGCUCACUAGUCGAGGGACUGUGCAUGGAUAAUAAUCGGGUAUGAAACCCAUUGCCGAAGCCGCGGGACACGAAGAGUGUCGGUAGGGGAGCAUUGCAUGCGCCUUGAAGGUAGGGGGACGACCCCUGCUGGAGCGCAUGGAAAAGCAAAUGUAGGUAUAAGUAACGAUAAAGAGCGUGAGAUGCGCUCUCGCCGAAAGACCAAGGUUUCCCGGGCAACGUUAAUCGACCCGGGGUCAGUCGGGACCUAAGGAUAAGCCGAAAGGCGAGGCCGAUGGCAGAAACGGUUAAUAUUCCGUUACUGGCGUAUGGGGCGAUUGCGGCGACGGAGGAGUGAAACUUCCGCGGACCGACGGAAUGGUCCGUUAAAGAGUGUAGACGUAGAGAGAGGCAGGCAAAUCCACCUUUCGAGUCGAACUUGACAGUACAUGAAGCCUUCGGGCGGAUUGAUAGCGAAGGUAAUCAUACUCCCGAGAAAACCCGCUAAGCAUAACCCAUGCGGCACCCGUACCGUAAACGGACACACGUAGUUGGGUAGAAAAUACUGAGGCGCUUGGAAGAUUCACGGUUAAGGAACUAGGCAAACUGACCCCGUAACUUCGGGAAAAGGGGUCCUCACGUGAGUGAGGCGCAGAGAAUAGGUCCAGGCAACUGUUUAACAAAAACACAGGGCUGUGCGAAAUCGCAAGAUGAAGUAUACAGCCUGACACCUGCCCGGUGCCGGAAGGUUAAGAGGAGAUGUCACCGCAAGGGAAGCAUUGAAUUGAAGCCCCGGUAAACGGCGGCCGUAACAAUAACGGUCCUAAGGUAGCGAAAUUCCUUGUCGGGUAAGUUCCGACCUGCACGAAUGGUGUAAUGAUCCGGACACUGUCUCAACCGUGAUUCCAGUGAAAUUGUAGUAUCGGUGAAGAUGCCGAUUACCCGCGAUGGGACGAAAAGACCCCGUGAACCUUUACUGCAGCUUAACGUUGUGACCGGGCAGCGGAUGUGUAGGAUAGGCCGGAGGCUAUGAA
RNAcentral lists this ribosomal RNA (2102 nucleotides) under gut metagenome. Its description in RNAcentral is "bacterial LSU rRNA". It matches the Rfam family "Bacterial large subunit ribosomal RNA", at positions 43 to 2161 of the family's 2925-position model. The record is from RNAcentral.